RNAcentral lists this ribosomal RNA (800 nucleotides) under uncultured Pseudomonadota bacterium. Its description in RNAcentral is "bacterial SSU rRNA". It matches the Rfam family "Bacterial small subunit ribosomal RNA", at positions 58 to 850 of the family's 1533-position model. The record is from RNAcentral. Lineage: Bacteria; Pseudomonadati; Pseudomonadota.
CAAGUCGAACGCGAAAGUGGAGCAAUCCAUGAGUAGAGUGGCGAACUGGUGAGUAACAGGUGGGCAAUGUGCCCCGAAGUGGGGGAUAACUCCGAGAAAUCGGAGCUAAUACCGCAUGUGGCGUCAAGGACCUUGGUUCAUGACGUUAAAGGAGCAAUUCGCUUUGGGAUCGGCCCGCCCCCGAUUAGCUAGUUGGUGAGGUAAUGGCUCACCAAGGCGACGAUCGGUAGCUGGUCUGAGAGGAUGGUCAGCCACACUGGAACUGAGAUACGGUCCAGACUCCUACGGGGGGCAGCAGUCUAGAGGCUUCGGCAAUGGGGGCAACCCUGACCGAGCGACGCCGCGUGCGGGAUGAAGGCGUUUUCGUUGUAAACCGCUGUGUAAGGGGAAGAAUGCCCGGAUGGCGAAUCCGGGAGCGACGGUACCUUUACAGAAAGCCCCGGCUAACUCCGUGCCAGCAGCCGCGGUAAUACGGGGGGGGCAAGCGUUGUUCGGAUUUACUGGGCGUAAAGGGAGUGUAGGCGGUUGGUCAAGUCGGAUGUGAAAGCUUCACCACUCAACGGGAAGAGGUCAUCCGAAACUGGCCGGCUAGAGUAGGGUAGAGGCAAGCGGAAUUCCUGGUGUAGCGGUGGAAUGUGUAGAUAUCAGGAAGAACAUCGGUGGCGAAGGCGGCUUGCUGGGCCCUUACUGACGCUGAGACUCGAAAGCGUGGGGAGCAAACGGGAUUAGAUACCCCGGUAGUCCACGCUGUAAACGGUGAGCACUAGGUGUGGGGGGGUAUCGACCCCUCCCGUGCCGUA